UACGUAGGGUGCGAGCGUUAAUCGGAUUCACUGGGCGUAAAGGGUGCGUAGGUGGUGAGGUAAGUCGGAUGUGAAAGCUCCGAGCUCAACUCGGAAAUGGCAUUGGAAACUACCUUGCUAGAGGGUUUGAGGGGGGACUGGAAUACUUGGUGUAGCAGUGAAAUGCGUAGAUAUCAAGUGGAACACCAGUGGCGAAGGCGAGUCCCUGGAAAACUCCUGACACUGAGGCACGAAAGCUAGGGGAGCAAACAGG
This 253-nucleotide ribosomal RNA is filed under the name uncultured bacterium. RNAcentral's name for it is "partial 16S ribosomal RNA". It matches the Rfam family "Bacterial small subunit ribosomal RNA", at positions 524 to 776 of the family's 1533-position model. The record is from RNAcentral.